CCUACGGGAGGCAGCAGUCGAGAAUCAUUCACAAUGGGGGAAACACUGAUGGUGCGACGCCGCGUGGGGGAAUGAAGGUCUUCGGAUUGUAAACCCCUGUAAUGUGGGAGCAAAUUAAAAAGAUAGUACCGCAAGAGGAAGAGACGACUAACUAGGUGCCAGCAGCCGCGGUAAUACAGAGGUCGCACGCGUUGUUAGGAAGCACUGGGGGUAAAGCGUGCGUCGGCUGUUAUGUAAGUCUGGUGUGAAAGGCGCGGGCUCAACCCGCGGACGGCACCUGAUACUGCGAGACUAGAGUGAAGGAGAGGGAAGCGGAAUGCCCGGUGUAGCAGGGAAAUGCGUAGAUAUCGGGAGGAACACUCGUGGCGAAGGCGGGUUCCUGGACAUUAACUGACGCUGAGGCACGAAGGCGAGGGGAGCGAAAGGGAUUAGAUACCCCUGUAGUC
RNAcentral lists this ribosomal RNA (446 nucleotides) under uncultured bacterium. RNAcentral's name for it is "partial 16S ribosomal RNA". It matches the Rfam family "Bacterial small subunit ribosomal RNA", at positions 338 to 795 of the family's 1533-position model. The record is from RNAcentral.